GAUGAACGCUGGCGGCGUGCCUAAUACAUGCAAGUCGAGCGAACAGACGAGGAGCUUGCUCCUCUGACGUUAGCGGCGGACGGGUGAGUAACACGUGGAUAACCUACCUAUAAGACUGGGAUAACUUCGGGAAACCGGAGCUAAUACCGGAUAAUAUAUUGAACCGCAUGGUUCAAUAGUGAAAGACGGUUUUGCUGUCACUUAUAGAUGGAUCCGCGCCGCAUUAGCUAGUUGGUAAGGUAACGGCUUACCAAGGCAACGAUGCGUAGCCGACCUGAGAGGGUGAUCGGCCACACUAGAACUGAGACACGGUCCAGACUCCUACGGGAGGCAACAGUAGGGAAUCUUCCGCAAUGGGCGAAAGCUUGACGGAGCAACGCCGCGUGAGUGAUGAAGGUCUUCGGAUCGUAAAACUCUGUUAUUAGGGAAGAACAAAUGUGUAAGUAACUAUGCACGUCUUGACGGUACCUAAUCAGAAAGCCACGGCUAACUACGUG
RNAcentral lists this ribosomal RNA (497 nucleotides) under uncultured bacterium. Its description in RNAcentral is "partial 16S ribosomal RNA". It matches the Rfam family "Bacterial small subunit ribosomal RNA", at positions 28 to 507 of the family's 1533-position model. The record is from RNAcentral.